This 254-nucleotide ribosomal RNA is filed under the name uncultured bacterium. RNAcentral describes it as "partial 16S ribosomal RNA". It matches the Rfam family "Bacterial small subunit ribosomal RNA", at positions 524 to 776 of the family's 1533-position model. The record is from RNAcentral.
UACGGAGGGGACUAGCGUUGUUCGGAAUUACUGGGCGUAAAGCGCACGUAGGCGGAUAUUUAAGUCGGUGGUGAAAUCCUGGAGCUCAACUCCAGAACUGCCUCCGAUACUGAAUGUCUUCGAGUCCGGGAGAGGUGAGUGGAACUGCGAGUGUAGAGGUGAAAUUCGUAGAUAUUCGCAAGAACACCAGUGGCGAAGGCGGCUCACUGGCCCGGUACUGACGCUGAGGUGCGAAAGCGUGGGGAGCAAACAGG